Phaseolus vulgaris (common bean) is the source of this 304-nucleotide non-coding RNA. The record is from Rfam. Lineage: Eukaryota; Viridiplantae; Streptophyta; Magnoliopsida; Fabales; Fabaceae.
GCUGAGCUGGGUUACUCCAGCUUGUGACCCAAGUGGGAGCUUCAAUGUGAUGGAACAGCACUGAGACUUGCUGGGUUGGGCUGUGUUUGCAAUAUGUUGGCCUGUCCAUUCCAAGUUGAGAGUGCAGUCUGGGGACUUUAGUGAAGGCUAAGGUCUCUUGGCUCUUAGAGUGAAGGGCACAGCGUGAGGCUGGUUUCACAGAGCAACGACCACCUUCCACUCCCGACAGUGGAGGGAUCACAGGCUGCAGCAACCUCAGUCCUUAAUGGCCUGGUCAGGCUAGUCUGCUUGGACUAUCACAUUU